GUGCCAGCCGCCGCGGUAAUACGAGAGGCCCAAACGUUAUUCGGAUUUACUGGGCUUAAAGAGUUCGUAGGCGGCGCGGAAAGUAGGGUGUGAAAGCCCUCGGCUCAACCGAGGAAUUGCGCCCUAAACUGCCGUGCUAGAGGAACCUAGAGGUGAGCAGAACUGAUGGUGGAGCGGUGAAAUGCGUUGAUAUCAUCAGGAAUACCGGAGGCGAAGGCGGCUCACUGGGGGUUUUCUGACGCUGAGGAACGAAAGCCAGGGGAGCGAACGGGAUUAGAUACCCCCGUAGUCC
Molecule: ribosomal RNA, 292 nt
Filed under: uncultured bacterium
Lineage: Bacteria
Description: partial 16S ribosomal RNA
Rfam family: Bacterial small subunit ribosomal RNA
Source: RNAcentral